CGGACGGGUGAGUAACGCGUGGGUAACCUGCCUUGUACUGGGGGACAACAGUUGGAAACGACUGCUAAUACCGCAUAAGCGCACAGCUUCGCAUGAGGCAGUGUGAAAAACUCCGGUGGUACAAGAUGGACCCGCGUCUGAUUAGCUGGUUGGUGAGGUAACGGCCCACCAAGGCGACGAUCAGUAGCCGGCCUGAGAGGGUGAACGGCCACAUUGGGACUGAGACACGGCCCAA
This 235-nucleotide ribosomal RNA is filed under the name uncultured bacterium. RNAcentral describes it as "partial 16S ribosomal RNA". It matches the Rfam family "Bacterial small subunit ribosomal RNA", at positions 99 to 334 of the family's 1533-position model. The record is from RNAcentral.